This 230-nucleotide unclassified non-coding RNA is filed under the name rhizosphere metagenome. Its description in RNAcentral is "partial ribosomal RNA internal transcribed spacer region". The record is from RNAcentral.
GUAGGUGAACCUGCGGAAGGAUCAUUAACACUUUUUUGUCAAUACAAAAUUCUUUUCUUAUAUCUAAACACACCUGGUUGAAACGUGAAACAAACAAAUAAUCAUUCUUUUUUGAACUCCCAACGAGUCGUAUUGAAAUUGAACAAACAAACCAACAAAACAUUAAACAAAAACAAAAACCAAAUAAACAUAAAAAAAAACAACUCUUAACAAUGGAUAUCUUGGUUCUC